RNAcentral lists this ribosomal RNA (492 nucleotides) under uncultured bacterium. RNAcentral describes it as "partial 16S ribosomal RNA". It matches the Rfam family "Bacterial small subunit ribosomal RNA", at positions 29 to 507 of the family's 1533-position model. The record is from RNAcentral.
AGUGAACGCUGGCGGUAGGCCUAACACAUGCAAGUCGAACGGCAGCACAGUAAGAGCUUGCUCUUACGGGUGGCGAGUGGCGGACGGGUGAGGAAUACAUCGGAAUCUACUUUUUCGUGGGGGAUAACGUAGGGAAACUUACGCUAAUACCGCAUACGACCUACGGGUGAAAGCAGGGGAUCUUCGGACCUUGCGCGAUUGAAUGAGCCGAUGUCGGAUUAGCUAGUUGGCGGGGUAAAGGCCCACCAAGGCGACGAUCCGUAGCUGGUCUGAGAGGAUGAGCAGCGACAGUGGGAGUGAGACACGGUACGGACGCCUACGGGAGGCAGCAGUGGGGAAUAUUGGACAAUGGGCGCAAGCCUGAUCCAGCCAUACCGCGUGGGUGCAGAAGGCCUUCGGGUUGUAAAGCCCUUUUGUUGGGAAAGAAAAGCAGCAGGUGAAUACCCCGCUGUUCUGACGGUACCCAAAGAAUAAGCACCGGCUAACUUCGUG